GGGCCCGCACAAGCGGUGGAGCAUGUGGUUUAAUUCGAUGAUACGCGAGGAACCUUACCAGGGCUUAAAUGUUAAGUGACAGAUCUAGAAAUAGAUUUUUCUUCGGACACUUAACAAGGUGCUGCAUGGUUGUCGUCAGCUCGUGCCGUGAGGUGUCAGGUUAAGUCCUAUAACGAGCGCAACCCCUGUUGUUAGUUGCCAGCGAGUAAUGUCGGGAACUCUAGCAAGACUGCCAGUGCAAACUGUGAGGGAAGGUGGGGAAUGACGUGCCAAAUCAUCGACGGCCCUUACCGUGCCUGGGCUACACACGUGCUACAAUGGUAGGUACAGAGAGCAGCCAAUGCGCGAGCAUGAG
RNAcentral lists this ribosomal RNA (355 nucleotides) under uncultured bacterium. RNAcentral describes it as "bacterial SSU rRNA". It matches the Rfam family "Bacterial small subunit ribosomal RNA", at positions 917 to 1267 of the family's 1533-position model. The record is from RNAcentral.